AUUGAACGCUGGCGGCAUGCUUUACACAUGCAAGUCGAACGGCAGCGCGGGCUUCGGCCUGGCGGCGAGUGGCGAACGGGUGAGUAAUGCAUCGGAACGUGCCCAGUAGUGGGGGAUAGCCCGGCGAAAGCCGGAUUAAUACCGCAUACGACCUGCGGGUGAAAGCGGGGGACCGAAAGGCCUCGCGCUAUUGUAGCGGCCGAUGUCGGAUUAGCUAGUUGGUGGGGUAAAGGCUUACCAAGGCGACGAUCCGUAGCUGGUCUGAGAGGACGACCAGCCACACUGGGACUGAGACACGGCCCAGACUCCUACGGGAGGCAGCAGUGGGGAAUUUUGGACAAUGGGGGCAACCCUGAUCCAGCCAUGCCGCGUGCGGGAAGAAGGCCUUCGGGUUGUAAACCGCUUUUGUUCGGGAAGAAAUCCUCUGGGCUAAUACCCCGGGGGGAUGACGGUACCGGAAGAAUAAGCACCGGCUAACUACGUG
RNAcentral lists this ribosomal RNA (484 nucleotides) under uncultured bacterium. RNAcentral describes it as "partial 16S ribosomal RNA". It matches the Rfam family "Bacterial small subunit ribosomal RNA", at positions 28 to 507 of the family's 1533-position model. The record is from RNAcentral.